GUCAUCUAUUUCAUCCAAGUGUUUGCAUCUAACACAAUCACUGCAUUCAGUUUUGAGAUUUGUCAUCAAACAAACUGCACCCUUGUCUUUGAGAGUUCAGGCCCUGGUCCGAGAGGAUUCAAUCCUGUGGGUAUGAACUGCUUGGUAAGAACACUACCCAAAGCCAGCAGCAUGGGCCUUAACAGACCUUGCUACAGAUGUCCUUGUGUGCCCGCUGCGGCCAGUGGAGCGCUUCCAUGACCUGCGUCCUGAUGAAGUGGCCGAUUUGUUUCAGACGACCCAGAGAGUCGGGACAGUGGUGGAAAAACAUUUCCAUGGGACCUCUCUCACCUUUUCCAUGCAGGAUGGCCCCGAAGCCGGACAGACUGUGAAGCAGCAGAUUUGUACUAUCCUGGACAAGAUUG
This 404-nucleotide long non-coding RNA is filed under the name Homo sapiens (human). Its description in RNAcentral is "HSALNT0055290". The record is from RNAcentral. Lineage: Eukaryota; Metazoa; Chordata; Mammalia; Primates; Hominidae.